RNAcentral lists this ribosomal RNA (694 nucleotides) under uncultured Ruegeria sp. Its description in RNAcentral is "bacterial SSU rRNA". It matches the Rfam family "Bacterial small subunit ribosomal RNA", at positions 35 to 784 of the family's 1533-position model. The record is from RNAcentral. Lineage: Bacteria; Pseudomonadati; Pseudomonadota; Alphaproteobacteria; Rhodobacterales; Roseobacteraceae.
GCUGCGGAGGCUACACAUGCAGUUGAGCGCGCUUCGGGUGAGCGGCGGACGGGUUAGUAACGCGUGGGAACGUGCCCUUCUCUACGGAAUAGCCUCUGGAAACGGAGAGUAAUACCGUAUACGCCCUUUGGGGGAAAGAUUAUCGGAGAAGGAUCGGCCCGCGUUAGAUUAGGUAGUUGGUGGGGUAACGGCCUACCAAGCCUACGAUCUAUAGCUGGUUUUAGAGGAUGAUCAGCAACACUGGGACUGAGACACGGCCCAGACUCCUACGGGAGGCAGCAGUGGGGAAUCUUAGACAAUGGGGGCAACCCUGAUCUAGCCAUGCCGCGUGAGUGAUGAAGGCCUUAGGGUCGUAAAGCUCUUUCGCCUGUGAUGAUAAUGACAGUAGCAGGUAAAGAAACCCCGGCUAACUCCGUGCCAGCAGCCGCGGUAAUACGGAGGGGGUUAGCGUUGUUCGGAAUUACUGGGCGUAAAGCGCGCGUAGGCGGAUUAGAAAGUUGGGGGUGAAAUCCCGGGGCUCAACCCCGGAACUGCCUCCAAAACUGCUAGUCUAGAGUUCGAGAGAGGUGAGUGGAAUUCCGAGUGUAGAGGUGAAAUUCGUAGAUAUUCGGAGGAACACCAGUGGCGAAGGCGGCUCACUGGCUCGAUACUGACGCUGAGGUGCGAAAGUGUGGGGAGCAAACAGGAUUAGAUA